Molecule: ribosomal RNA, 433 nt
Filed under: uncultured bacterium
Lineage: Bacteria
Description: partial 16S ribosomal RNA
Rfam family: Bacterial small subunit ribosomal RNA
Source: RNAcentral
AACGAACGCUGGCGGCAUGCCUAACACAUGCAAGUCGAACGAGACCUUCGGGUCUAGUGGCGCACGGGUGCGUAACGCGUGGGAACCUGCCCUUAGGUUCGGAAUAACUCCCCGAAAGGGGUGCUAAUACCGGAUAAUGUCUUCGGACCAAAGAUUUAUCGCCUUUGGAUGGGCCCGCGUUGGAUUAGCUAGUUGGUAGGGUAAAAGCCUACCACGGCGACGAUACAUAGCUGGUCUGAGAGGAUGAUCAGCCACACUGGGACUGAGACACGGCCCAGACUCCUACAGGAGGCAGCAGUGGGGAAUAUUGGACAAUGGGCGAAAGCCUGAUCCAGCAAUGCCGCGUGAGUGAUGAAGGCCUUAGGGUUGUAAAGCUCUUUUACCCGGGAUGAUAAUGACAGUACCGGGAGAAUAAGCUCCGGCUAACUCCGUG